This 469-nucleotide ribosomal RNA is filed under the name uncultured bacterium. Its description in RNAcentral is "bacterial SSU rRNA". It matches the Rfam family "Bacterial small subunit ribosomal RNA", at positions 34 to 498 of the family's 1533-position model. The record is from RNAcentral.
CGCUGGCGGCAGGCCUAACACAUGCAAGUCGAGCGGAUGAAAGGAGCUUGCUCCUGGAUUCAGCGGCGGACGGGUGAGUAAUGCCUAGGAAUCUGCCUGGUAGUGGGGGACAACGUUUCGAAAGGAACGCUAAUACCGCAUACGUCCUACGGGAGAAAGCAGGGGACCUUCGGGCCUUGCGCUAUCAGAUGAGCCUAGGUCGGAUUAGCUAGUUGGUGAGGUAAUGGCUCACCAAGGCGACGAUCCGUAACUGGUCUGAGAGGAUGAUCAGUCACACUGGAACUGAGGCACGGUCCAGACUCCUACGGGAGGCAGCAGUGGGGAAUAUUGGACAAUGGGCGAAAGCCUGAUCCAGCCAUGCCGCGUGUGUGAAGAAGGUCUUCGGAUUGUAAAGCACUUUAAGUUGGGAGGAAGGGUUGUAGAUUAAUACUCUGCAAUUUUGACGUUACCGACAGAAUAAGCACCGGCU